Long non-coding RNA from Oreochromis niloticus (Nile tilapia), 914 nucleotides. RefSeq lists it as uncharacterized. Lineage: Eukaryota; Metazoa; Chordata; Actinopteri; Cichliformes; Cichlidae. The record is from RefSeq and is a predicted model, not a curated record. The transcript is spliced from 3 exons.
AUAUGUUUAGAAUUUCCUGACCAGUGUUUUAUGACAGUAUAUCAUUUAAUCUUGCAUGUUAACCACAGGGACACGCUGCCGAUCGUAUACCUCCUUUCUGCAUUACACCACGCACGGGCCAGAGCAACCCUGUACAAUGACUCCCUUUUACAGCAUCUGCAGGCUGCGCUCAGAGCAUUAACAUUGAAGCGCCAUCAAAGGUUCAGAGGGAUCUCUGAGGAGACGGGAGCUUUACGGUCCCUCUCCAGCUGCCGCCUCCUGCUUAGCUCCCUCACACCUCCGCCGCGUGUCAAACAGGCUCCAGAGCCAACCCCGCAGCUGACAAAGUUCCCAAAGUUACAGAUCAUGUUGCAGUAUUGCACUGUUUGAACAGAAGAGGCAAUCCUACUUAGACCCCUCAGGGCCAUUGAAGAUGCUAAGUUUUCUUUUCUCAGGACAGAUGGUGGCCUUCCAGGGUUGUCUCAAGGUUACACAGACAUAUUCUCAGUGAUAGUGGAAGUGGCACCGGACCAAGAGAUAUCCUCGACAUACUUCUGUUCUUCUCCCAAGGUUUUUCUUAGUGAAUAACAGCAAGCUUCCAGCAGAUAAGAGAAUGAGAGUCUCUGAGUAUGGAACACGUGUCCUCCGGCAUUAUCUUGCAGCCAGAUAGAGAGACGGGGGGAAUAUGGCUGUUGGUUGGAUGUUAUUUUUUCUACAAGGGAGUCAGGGAGUCAGAUAUCCUUACACAGAAAUGAUGUAUUUUUCAAUGGGAAGAAAAGCUGGGCAGUGUUAAAAAAGUCAAUAAUGCUGUGCAGAGUCACGCUACAGAUAUUAAUCGCAGGUCUUUUCUUUGAAUUAAAAUUUUUGGAUAAUUGCAUUUUUGAAAUCAAGCUGAUUUCAUCCUAUUUGCAGUUUUCAAAUGUUUGUUAAACUGU